GUUCACCCGCACAACCCCGGACCAGUAAAGCCCGGGGAAUGGGAGACCCAAGAUGGGUGCACCGCCUUGGUCCGAGCAAGACCUACUAACUACCAUCCCAGAGCGGACGCAGGUGCCCUGACCACGGCAGGGCCCAGUGAGACUUCUGUCACCCUUGAUUAUCCAUCAACUUGGUCCAAGACCACGUUCUUUCUGGCAGCUCUCAAAGCCUUUGGAAUUUCCUGAAAGAUAAGAGCAAUGGGAGCAUCUUUUAUCAUAACAUUUGGCCUCUUGUCCUCAGUUUCCGAAAUCCCUUCAGGGCCAUAAAAGUGAAUGGGUGUCUUGUUAUUCAUAACAAAUCCCUUUCCACCACAACCUGGUUUAUGUUAAUGAGGUGACUUUUGGACUGCACUUAAGGAAGGGGGCUGGUUGCCAGGGGAACCAACAGAGACUAGAGGGUUGGAACUUGCAGUCCCGCUCCUUGACUUCCAGGGAGAGGAGAGGGGCUGGAGAUUGAAUCAACUGCCAAAGGCCAAUGAUUUCAUCAAUGCUUCCUAUGAAAUGAAGCCUCCAUAAAAACCCAAAUGGAUAAGUUCCAGAGAGCUUCCAGGUUGGGGACCAGAACUCUUCCAUGUGCCACUAUGCUGGGUCCCAAACUCCAUGAGGAUGAAGCUCUUCUGUUCCAGACCUUGCCCUACAGAUCCCUUCAUCUGGCUGUUGGUUUGUGUCCUUUAAUAGCUUUUGUAAUAAACCAGUA
Canis lupus familiaris (dog) is the source of this 736-nucleotide long non-coding RNA. RefSeq lists it as uncharacterized. NCBI's taxonomy places the organism in Eukaryota, Metazoa, Chordata, Mammalia, Carnivora, Canidae. The record is from RefSeq and is a predicted model, not a curated record. The transcript is spliced from 3 exons.